UAGGGAAUCUUCGGCAAUGGGGGGAACCCUGACCGAGCAACGCCGCGUGAGUGAAGAAGGUUUUCGGAUCGUAAAGCUCUGUUGUUAAGGAAGAACGAGUGUGAGAAUGGAAAGUUCAUGCUGUGACGGUACUUAACCAGAAAGGGACGGCUAACUACGUGCCAGCAGCCGCGGUAAUACGUAGGUCCCGAGCGUUGUCCGGAUUUAUUGGGCGUAAAGCGAGCGCAGGCGGUUAGAAAAGUCUGAAGUGAAAGGCGGUGGCUCAACCAUUGUAGGCUUUGGAAACUGUUUAACUUGAGUGCAGAAGGGGAGAGUGGAAUUCCAUGUGUAGCGGUGAAAUGCGUAGAUAUAUGGAGGAACACCGGUGGCGAAAGCGGCUCUCUGGUCUGUAACUGACGCUGAGGCUCGAAAGCGUGGGGAGCGAACAGG
This 429-nucleotide ribosomal RNA is filed under the name Bacteroidota bacterium. RNAcentral describes it as "Bacteroidetes bacterium partial 16S ribosomal RNA". It matches the Rfam family "Bacterial small subunit ribosomal RNA", at positions 355 to 776 of the family's 1533-position model. The record is from RNAcentral. Lineage: Bacteria; Pseudomonadati; Bacteroidota.